CGGGUGAGUAACACGUGGAUAACCUACCUAUAAGACUGGGAUAACUUCGGGAAACCGGAGCUAAUACCGGAUAAUAUAUUGAACCGCAUGGUUCAAUAGUGAAAGACGGUUUUGCUGUCACUUAUAGAUGGAUCCGCGCUGCAUUAGCUAGUUGGUAAGGUAACGGCUUACCAAGGCAACGAUGCGUAGCCGACCUGAGAGGGUGAUCGGCCACACUGGAACUGAGACACGGUCCAGACUCCUACGGGAGGCAGCAGUA
This 259-nucleotide ribosomal RNA is filed under the name uncultured Staphylococcus sp. RNAcentral describes it as "partial 16S ribosomal RNA". It matches the Rfam family "Bacterial small subunit ribosomal RNA", at positions 103 to 355 of the family's 1533-position model. The record is from RNAcentral. Lineage: Bacteria; Bacillati; Bacillota; Bacilli; Caryophanales; Staphylococcaceae.